AAAUAUUUCCUGGAGCAAUAGGUGCCUUAGAUGGAACUCUUAUACAUGCGAUCGUGCCUGUUGAUCAACAGACUCGUUACAGGGGAAGAGGAAAAGGUGAAUGCUUUCAAAAUGUAUUAGCAAUUUGUGACUUUGAUAUGAUAUUCACAUUCGUAUGGGCCGGAUGGGAGGGCAUUGCACAUGAUUCACGAGUUUUAAAAGAAGUUGCAUUCAACCCAAUUCUGGCUUUCCUUUUCCGCCACCAGAUAAGUAUUACCUUUGUGACGCUGCGUACACCAACACUCGUGGAUUUAUGACUCCCUACCGUGGUACGAGGUAUUGGUUAGCCGAUUUUCGACGACAACGUGCGUUAACUAAGGAAGAAAGAUUCAAUCAUGCUCACGCACAACUCAGAAAUGUCAUUGAACGUGCAUAUGGUGUUCUAAAGGCGAGAUUCCCAAUCCUAAAGCAAAUGGCUCCCUUUUCUUUUCCAAUACAAAGAGACAUAGUGAUUGCUUGUUUCGCCAUCCAUAAUUUUAUAAGGAAAUGCAAUAUUUAUGAUCAGUUA
Molecule: long non-coding RNA, 547 nt
Organism: Helianthus annuus (common sunflower)
Lineage: Eukaryota; Viridiplantae; Streptophyta; Magnoliopsida; Asterales; Asteraceae
Exons: 2
Source: RefSeq, a predicted model, not a curated record